GGCGUAGUAACAAUGUUACUCACAUACCUAACAGUGACGCGUUUACAGAAGAAGUGACUGGAAGGGCUUGCUGGUAGCCAUGACAGUCUGAAGUAAUGCUAAGUUGGCAGUAAUAGUUACUGACUUAUCCGAAAGUGUGUUGGAGCUUAAAGGAGUGGUCGUUGAUUACCAAACUUUGUCCCUAAUCUUUACGCAUACCAUAAUUCUGAUAGCAGACAAUAGUUAGUUAGUUAUCAUUAAUACCUUUAGAGCGCCGUCUGGGUUAGUUUGGUUCCGUCAUGUCUGGGGCCGGAGACUUCGGGAACCCUUUAAGGAAAUUUAAACUGGUCUUUCUCGGGGAACAAAGUGUGGGAAAGACCUCGUUGAUUACCAGGUUCAUGUAUGACAGCUUUGACAACACAUACCAAGCCACCAUAGGAAUAGAUUUCCUCUCAAAAACCAUGUACCUUGAAGACAGAACUAUCAGGUUGCAGCUGUGGGACACAGCAGGGCAAGAGCGGUUCCGCAGCCUCAUCCCAAGUUAUAUUAGAGAUUCUGCUGCCGCUGUUGUCGUGUACGACAUCACAAACGUUAACUCUUUCCAGCAAACCACAAAAUGGAUUGAUGACGUUAGAACAGAGAGAGGAAGUGAUGUCAUCAUCAUGUUGGUGGGAAACAAGACGGACCUUGCUGACAAAAGGCAAGUUUCUAUUGAAGAGGGUGAACGGAAAGCCAAAGAACUAAAUGUAAUGUUUAUUGAGACUAGUGCGAAAGCGGGCUACAACGUAAAGCAGACAGAUAACCACAGAGGAAGGAGAACAGAGAGCAAAAGAGAUGAAUGUUCUGUUUAUUGAAACAAGUGCAAAGACAGGCUACAAUGUCAAACAGGUAGAGGCUGUGCACCUUCAUGUGUGCAUGUGUUCAUUGCACUCCUGCUUUUUUUUCUGAUUGGCUUCUUUUUUCACAACAUGUGCUCUGAACAUCAGCUUGCAAUGAGGUGCAUGGUUUGGCUUUGCAAAUUCUCUGUUAUGUAUUGGCCAUUUUUUUUAUUUGCAAAACUUUAAAGUCGAGUGAGAGUUUGUAAACCAGCGAUUGACCCAACAGUAUUCAGUCUGUGCUGCAGCAAAAUCUGCAUGCUGACGAGAUUCAUUUGAUGCAAUCUUUUGAUUGAUGUGCAUGAUCAAGAUUCUUAAAAAAAAACAUAUUUCAGCAGCAAAUACUAGUAUUUAUGAAAGCUUAAAGUGGAAAUUCAUCAAGAAAGCAUUUAGUCUUUCACACGAUUGCACCAAACAGCAUGUUUUCUAUCUAAGUGUAAAGAUUAGUGAUUAUCCUCAUUUAGAAAAACUUAACUUAAAGCUAAAAAAAAACUUUAUUAUAACUGGUCAUUGAGAAAAGUUGGAAAAAUGUUUAAUUUUAUUAUAGUUUACUAUAGAAGAACACAUGUUCAUAAAAUUGCACCAAUCAGACAACUUGGCUGUCUCUGACAACUGAAAUCAAAAAGUCAUUAAUAGCAUUAGUAUUAGUUUAUAUCCAAACUUGAGUAUUAUGUUUAACAAAAAUAUGUAUUACUGUUAUGUUUUCAUAUUGAUAUUUUUUCAUGAAGUCCUUCAGUUUUUAAAAAUAGAACCCCGUUUUGUCCCUUUUUUAUUUUGAGGCACUUUUCAGUAAAUCAAAGGAAAACUUUUGAUGGUGUCUUCCACUGCGCAAGUUUCUGCAGAACCUCUGUAAAUCAGAUGAAUUCAUCCAUUGCAUGCUAUCUGUGUUUCUUCCUGUACUUGCAUUAACAGUUUUUCUUUGACUCAAGAUAUUGACGGUAUCCUCUAUCUUCUGCAGCUUUUCCGCCGUGUGGCUGCCGCCCUCCCCGGCAUGGAUACCUCACAAGACAAGAGUCGAGAGGACAUGAUUGACAUUAAGCUGGAGAAACCUCCAGAGCAGCCUGCCAGUGAAGGGAGCUGUUCCUGCUAAUAUUUUUGCCUGUAUUAGUGGUUUUUCCCGGAAGCUAUUUCUUCUUUUUUUAUUUUUGUUUUGUUUUUACAAAUAUAUAUAUAUAUAUGCACCCUUCAUUAUCCACUGCAAGAACACUACAUCUGCUAUCCCUGUUGUUGUGAACACAGACUCUAAAAGUUACAUAUCACUAAAAAUGUAGUAUUUUUCACUGCAUGAAUUGGACUGAUAUGUUUAUACUGUUAAAAUUUGUUUUUCUGCUGACAUUCUGUUAAUUUUUUCAAAUGAAAAAAAGUGGUUUAAGAGCAAGAAGCCAGUCUUGAGUAUUUUUUGAGCAAAAUAAAUGAAAUUGUCUUGUAAAAGUCAUCAAAGCAAUGUAUUUAAAAGUUGAAAAUGUCCUUUGACAUUUUUGUUAAAGUCAUGUGGCUUGUGUUUACUUGUUCCAAGCAAAAUCUGUUUACAGUCAACUGGCUUAAAUACAUUAAUAUAUUAUCAUUGAUAAACAAAAAAAAAUCAGCACAUUUAAAUAGUUAAGUCAACAUUUAUUGGAUUUGUGUUCUGACUUCCUGUAUAAUUACGUGAUCAGCCCUUUAGGUUAAGACCCAGAUUUGCUGUUUUGAAAUGAUUUUUUUCUUUCACUAAUUAAAAAUUCUCACUGACCAAAAAAAAAAAAAAAUUGCUAUCUGACAAGAGCACGCCAAGGUAUCUCACACAAAACCGUCCUUUCUUUUCUUCAUUCUAAUAACCCAUCAGAUUUUUUUCUAUCUUUUUCAUUUUAUCAUGGUUUAUCUUUCAUUUUUGCAUACACUUUUUCCUUUUAAAAUUAUAAUUGCGGUGUCAUAGAUGAUUAUUUAAUAGUGUUUAAGGAGGACUUUUUCUCAACUCCUACCUUAAACAGGGUAGAUAUGCAGAUUUAUGCCUUUCAGAGUAAAAGUAUAGAGGGCCUCUUUGACUUUGGGUUGUGUAGAUCAGUUUGUAAGAACACUUUUAAAGCUUUGAUUUUUCUUUUUUUUAUAAUUUUUACUUUUGGCAUUGAUCUGUUGUUAGGGAUUGAGCAACAUGUAUUUAAUUCAUAGUGACUUGAGAUAUUUAUUCUGUUGGACUCAUGCUUCUUUUAUAUGACUGUUAUUUUCUUCACUUUUGUUUAAAAAAAAAGUCCUGAAUCAUUAAUAAAAUUAUGCAUCUUUUUGGAUUUUCUUUAACUGAGUUUGACCAUCUGCUGUCCCAUAUGCUACCUUUUGGUGGUGUUUUGAUCAUACUGACCAUAUUGUGCAAUUUUUGUGUAAAUUUAUGUAUGGAAGUACAGUUUGUAUAGCAUGGGUGUCCUUAACGUUUCUGUAUGGAAUGGUUUUAAAUGAAAGAAUAAAUAUACAAUUUUGUCACCAUGA
This is an RNA transcript of Oryzias melastigma (Indian medaka), 3311 nucleotides long. It is a transcript of the gene named RAB6A, member RAS oncogene family, with no coding region annotated. The record is from RefSeq and is a predicted model, not a curated record. The transcript has 8 exons. Lineage: Eukaryota; Metazoa; Chordata; Actinopteri; Beloniformes; Adrianichthyidae.